Molecule: ribosomal RNA, 253 nt
Filed under: uncultured bacterium
Lineage: Bacteria
Description: partial 16S ribosomal RNA
Rfam family: Bacterial small subunit ribosomal RNA
Source: RNAcentral
UACGUAGGGUGCAAGCGUUGUCCGGAAUUAUUGGGCGUAAAGAGCUCGUAGGCGGCUUGUCACGUCGGUUGUGAAAGCCCGGGGCUUAACCCCGGGUCUGCAUUCGAUACGGGCUAGCUAGAGUGUGGUAGGGGAGAUCGGAAUUCCUGGUGUAGCGGUGAAAUGCGCAGAUAUCAGGAGGAACACCGGUGGCGAAGGCGGAUCUCUGGGCCAUUACUGACGCUGAGGAGCGAAAGCGUGGGGAGCGAACAGG